This 1786-nucleotide long non-coding RNA is filed under the name Theobroma cacao (cacao). RNAcentral's name for it is "long non-coding RNA (TCAC_LNC006423)". Lineage: Eukaryota; Viridiplantae; Streptophyta; Magnoliopsida; Malvales; Malvaceae. The record is from RNAcentral.
AGAACAAACCCUAGGUGGGAAAUAUCAAAGAGAAAGUGUUGGAAUUCAAGGAUUUGAUCAAGCAAAAGUAAAAUUUCUUUGAUUUUGCUAGUGAUUUACCUUACCCAUGCAUUUUUCCUUAAUUUCCAUGGUUAAAUUACAUGUUUUCAUGAUGAAAUUAUGGCUGGUCAAAAUGGGUAUGGAGAGAGAAAGAUGUUGGAAUUGUUUGAUUUUGAGUUAUGUUGGUGUUUAGAGUUAAUUAAACAUGUUUAGAAACAAAACAAUAAGAAAAGAAUCCAUUUUCCCCAUGAACCUUCAAUGGCCGAAAGUUCCAAGAAGAAAAGUGAAGAUAAAUUUGCCUAAUUGUGUGUUAAUUAGUUGUGCUUGGUGAAUUAAGGGAUUGGAAAAGAAAUGGAGAAAAUUGGAGUGAAAUUGGACGAAUUGGCCAAUUUAUUGGAUGAAAAAUCGACUUAGGUCAAUACCGGGUCUAGAUGGCUACCUAUGCAUUUUUCAUUUCAUAUCAUGCAUAUAUAUCGAGCCUGAAAUAGCUUAUGACUGUUAGACACAAUUUAAUUGAAAUAUGUGCCAUGGAUUAUGGCUAGGUGAGCCAUUAGAUACGGGUAAAGGACUGUACCCGCGGACUGAAAAUAGGAGUAUAUCGACUCCUAGAACAGUGAGUAAACUUACUAUCGUCUUAAUUAUCUAGAGUAGAUUUAUUUAAUUGUGUGAUUCUAUGGAAAAAUGGUUUAAUUGGAAAAUUAUUGUGUUUUAUGGGAAAAUGAGAUUUUAUAAAAUUAUUUUAUAAAAUUUUUAAAAAUUUAAUAAUGAUUUCAAAAAUAGAGUAAUUGGAGACCUAUACUAUGAUUGUGUUGUUUAUCCAUGAUUUUCAUUAAAUGGCUUAUGAUAAAUGUGGGUAUGACAAGUUAUUUUUAUGAUUUAAAGAAUAUGUGAACUGCUUUGAUUUGCCUUGAAUGUGUUAAGUGAGCCAUGUCAUACUAUUGUGAUUUUAUUGGUUGGUGGAUUAUAAAGUGGGCACUGUAGUGACGGGGGUUCCGUGGGCUAGCCUAAUUAGAGGGGCACGGUUCCCAAUUAUUGAGCUUACCUCGAUUGGAAAGGCGCAUAGGAUAACUCCCGAGGUAGGAUUUGAGUACACUUCACGCUGGCCAUCACGUGAAACUAGGACUCAGCCAAUGCCGAGGAACAGUUGUGUUGUCAGAGGUGAAAUGUGUUUGUGUAUGUGACAUAAACAGCCUUGGCGGUCUCGGUAAGAUGCCUUCGCAGGGUAUCCCCGAGAAUGGAUUUUUGGCAAGGGCCAAGUUUUUGAAAAGUGCAUAAGCCAUGUUGAGUAAUUGGAUGAAAUCCAAUUAUUUAUAUGGGUUGGGAUGAAUUAUUUUAAUUGUCUCCUAUUACUCGGCUUUAGAUUAUUUUGAUGAUGUCUGUCUACUCACUGGGAUUUUAUAAUCUCACCCCUUCUUCCUAUCCAUUUUUCAGGCUCAGGACAAUUUGUUGAUAGUUGAUUAAGACGAGAAUUAAUCUCGGAGUUGCAUCUUAGAAAGUAAGGGUUCGUAACCCUACAUUUUCUUAGUCAGUUGGGGGCUCACGUGUCACUGUAAAAGAAAUUUUAUUCUUCAGUUAUUUAAUUUAAAAUAUGUAUGAAUAUAUUUAGCUUUUACACCAUGUUUUUGGCGAGUUUUGAUAUUUUUGAAGAAAAAUGACGAAAAUGCCCUUGUGAGCCAGAAAGUAAUAUUUUAUUAUUUUGAUUUGGAAAUGACUUAUGAUUUUUUUUGAAAUGUGAGAUUUAAUAACU